RNAcentral lists this transfer RNA (74 nucleotides) under Chloroflexota bacterium. RNAcentral's name for it is "Chloroflexi bacterium tRNA-Gln". It matches the Rfam family "tRNA". Rfam says of the family: Transfer RNA (tRNA) molecules are approximately 80 nucleotides in length. Their secondary structure includes four short double-helical elements and three loops (D, anti-codon, and T loops). Further hydrogen bonds mediate the characteristic L-shaped molecular structure. tRNAs have two regions of fundamental functional importance: the anti-codon, which is responsible for specific mRNA codon recognition, and the 3' end, to which the tRNAs corresponding amino acid is attached (by aminoacyl-tRNA synthetases). tRNAs cope with the degeneracy of the genetic code in two manners: having more than one tRNA (with a specific anti-codon) for a particular amino acid; and 'wobble' base-pairing, i.e. permitting non-standard base-pairing at the 3rd anti-codon position. The record is from RNAcentral. Lineage: Bacteria; Bacillati; Chloroflexota. RNAcentral also lists the same sequence under 2 other names.
UGGGGAUUCGGCUAGUGGUAGGCCGCCUGACUCUGGAUCAGGUAACGAUGGUUCGAAUCCAUCAUCCCCAGCCA